GACGAACGCUGGCGGCGUGCUUAACACAUGCAAGUCGAGCGGUAAGGCCCUUUCGGGGGUACACGAGCGGCGAACGGGUGAGUAACACGUGGGUGACCUGCCCUCAGCUCUGGGAUAAGCCUGGGAAACCGGGUCUAAUACCGGGUAUGACUCCAUGACGCAUGUUGUGGGGUGAAAGCCUUGUGCGGCUGAGGAUGGGCCCGGCGGCCUAUCAGCUUGUUGGUGGGGUGAUGGCCACCAAGGCGACGACGGGUAGCCGGCCUGAGAGGGCGACCGGCC
RNAcentral lists this ribosomal RNA (279 nucleotides) under uncultured bacterium. RNAcentral's name for it is "partial 16S ribosomal RNA". It matches the Rfam family "Bacterial small subunit ribosomal RNA", at positions 28 to 309 of the family's 1533-position model. The record is from RNAcentral.